AGCUGGUGUAGUGAAUU
This 17-nucleotide microRNA is filed under the name Corchorus olitorius. RNAcentral describes it as "gga-miR-1". Lineage: Eukaryota; Viridiplantae; Streptophyta; Magnoliopsida; Malvales; Malvaceae. The record is from RNAcentral.